RNAcentral lists this transfer RNA (70 nucleotides) under Marmota monax (woodchuck). Its description in RNAcentral is "tRNA.Ala". Lineage: Eukaryota; Metazoa; Chordata; Mammalia; Rodentia; Sciuridae. The record is from RNAcentral.
GGGGAUGUAGAUCAGUGGUAGAACGUUUGCAUAGCAUGCUGGGGGUCCUGGAUUCAAUCCAGCACCACCA